RNAcentral lists this RNase P RNA (429 nucleotides) under Cyanobacteria bacterium QH_2_48_84. Its description in RNAcentral is "RNase P RNA component class A". It matches the Rfam family "Bacterial RNase P class A". From Rfam's summary of the family: Ribonuclease P (RNase P) is a ubiquitous endoribonuclease, found in archaea, bacteria and eukarya as well as chloroplasts and mitochondria. Its best characterised activity is the generation of mature 5'-ends of tRNAs by cleaving the 5'-leader elements of precursor-tRNAs. Cellular RNase Ps are ribonucleoproteins. The record is from RNAcentral. Lineage: Bacteria; Bacillati; Cyanobacteriota. RNAcentral also lists the same sequence under 11 other names.
GGGAGUCGGCGAAGGGAGUUACAGAUUCGCACUAACUGCGAAUCUGAGGAAAGUCCGGACUCCCAAAGACCAGACCGCUGGGUAACUCCCAGUGCGGGCGACCGUGAGGAAAGUGCCACAGAAACAUACCGCCAAUGGGAAGGAUGAAGGCAGAAGGAGGAAUUCAUCCUUCACCUCUUCUUUCUCAUCCUUCCACAGGUAAGGGUGCAAAGGUGCGGUAAGAGCGCACCAGCAGCACUGAGAGGUGCUGGCUCGGUAAACCCCGGUUGGGAGCAAGGUCAAAGGAACCAAGGUUGGUCUUUUACCGGUUCCGCAGUAGAGAGCCGCCAGAGGCAUCUGGCAACAGAUGUCCCAGAUAGAUAACUCCCCUCGGAAGGCUGAGGAUUAGCCCCUUGAGAACAGAAUCCGGCUUACGUCCGGCUCCCUCCC